Molecule: unclassified non-coding RNA, 285 nt
Organism: Nannospalax galili (Upper Galilee mountains blind mole rat)
Lineage: Eukaryota; Metazoa; Chordata; Mammalia; Rodentia; Spalacidae
Gene: 7SK
Rfam family: 7SK RNA
About the family: 7SK was discovered as an abundant small nuclear RNA in the mid-70s but a possible function has only recently been suggested. Two independent studies have found that 7SK RNA binds the CDK9/cyclin T complex (known as elongation factor P-TEFb). P-TEFb activates transcription by phosphorylating the C-terminal domain of RNA polymerase II.
Source: Ensembl
GGGUAUGAAGGUGAUCUGGCUGCAACGUGUUUCCCAUUGCUCACUAGGGUCAAUGUGGCAGAUCUGGCUGGCUAGGUGGGUGGUCAUGGCAUUGACUUCCUCUUCAGCCCAUGUGCAUCCCUCCCAAAGCUGUGUGCUCAGUGAAGAAGCCAACCUUCCCAUACAAAGGUGGGCCAUUUUUCAGGGAAGGAUAUGAGUAGCUAUGCUCCCCCACUAGACUGGCAGGGAAUUGGGAUAUGAGACAUUCAGCCUGGUGCUGGGCACAUGAUGUGGGUGCAGUGACCU